This 110-nucleotide ribosomal RNA is filed under the name Candidatus Phocaeicola faecipullorum. Lineage: Bacteria; Pseudomonadati; Bacteroidota; Bacteroidia; Bacteroidales; Bacteroidaceae. The record is from RNAcentral.
UCAGGUGGUUAUGGCACGAAGGUUCCACCUCUUCCCAUUCCGAACAGAGAAGUUAAGCUUCGUCACGCCGAUGGUACUGCAUAUUGUGGGAGAGUAGGUAGCCGCCGUUU